Molecule: long non-coding RNA, 224 nt
Organism: Hyalella azteca
Lineage: Eukaryota; Metazoa; Arthropoda; Malacostraca; Amphipoda; Hyalellidae
Exons: 3
Source: RefSeq, a predicted model, not a curated record
GUUUUAAAGGGAAGCAACGCUACAGUGUUUGCCUAUGGACAGACCUCAUCCGGUAAAACCCACACCAUGGUGGGUCGACCGGACUGUCCCGGUAUCAUCCCUCAGGCCAUCGACAGCCUUUUUAGGGGCAUGGAGGACACACCAGACGUUCGUUUUACCAUUAGAGCUUCGUUUAUGGAAAUAUACAACAGUGCGUCUACGACCUUUUGGUGGGUCGCGCCAAC